RNAcentral lists this ribosomal RNA (256 nucleotides) under uncultured bacterium. Its description in RNAcentral is "partial 16S ribosomal RNA". It matches the Rfam family "Bacterial small subunit ribosomal RNA", at positions 96 to 353 of the family's 1533-position model. The record is from RNAcentral.
UGGCGGACGGGUGAGUAAUGUCUGGGAAACUGCCUGAUGGAGGGGGAUAACUACUGGAAACGGUAGCUAAUACCGCAUAACGUCGCAAGACCAAAGAGGGGGACCUUCGGGCCUCUUGCCAUCGGAUGUGCCCAGAUGGGAUUAGCUAGUAGGUGGGGUAACGGCUCACCUAGGCGACGAUCCCUAGCUGGUCUGAGAGGAUGACCAGCCACGCUGGAACUGAGACACGGUCCAGACUCCUACGGGAGGCAGCAUG